CAACACCAAUACCAAAUGUGCUUUAGCAUACCUCAAGCGACUCUGUUUGUGGUGCAGAAAAGGCUUCUUCUGUAUUCCUCUCCCAUACAGCAUCUCCUUGUGUAAAGUGCACUGAAUAGUUGAACGAUGCACAGUGACUCCAUCUCUAGCAAAAUGUAGGUGUUUGGAGCUGCUCUGUGGGUUGACUACAACUGUUCUCACCAUCCUUCUCCUCUGAUUAUCUGAGAUUUUUCUUGACCUGACACUUCAGGUCUUAACUAAAACUGUAUCUGUGGUUCUUUCAUUUCCUCACUCUGUUCCUCACAGUGGAAACUGACUGAAAUCUCUGAGAGAGCUUUUUGUAAUCUUCCCCUAAACCAUGAUGUUGAACAAUAUUUUCAGGUGAUUUGAGAGUUUUGUUUUGAGGCUACCAUGUCACCACUCUUCAGAGAAGAUGCAAAAAUAGGAGAAAAAUUUGCAAUUGGCUCCUUAACCCGUUCUUAUAAUUGGAUUCACCUGUGUAUGUAGGUCAAGGGUCAAUAAGCUAACCAAACUAAUUUUGUGUUCCAGUAAUAAAAGUGCUAAAGGUACUCACCUCAAUAAAAUGACAAGGGUUCACCAAUUGUAUUCCCCUGCCUAAUUUAGUUUAAUUAAUUAUUGCACAUUUUUCUGUAAAUCCUAUAAACUUCUUUUCACUUCUUAAAUAUCACUGUGUUCAUCUGCUUUAUCUGAAAUUGUUGAUCCGGACGACCAAUGAUUUAUAAAGAAAAAUAAUAAAAAUAAUUAUCAGGGGUCCACAAACCUUUUCGUACCACCGUAAAUGUGGUGCUCUAUGUUCUAUAAAUGUCAUCUUGUAUGAGAGUUCCUUAAUCUAAGGUUUCCUGGCCACAACAUAGCUUUUGGCCUGUAGCUCAUGCUGGGUGUGAAAACUAUCACCAUCUAUUUUCACUGAAAGGUCUCACUCACCAUAUCUGUUUAAAUAUAGAACAGAAUCUUUUGAUUGGUUAAAAAAAAACACCAUCCCACUUUACUUUAAUACUCUCAUACUAAGGCACUCUCAAACACACAAACCACACACACCCACACCCACACACACACACUCACACACUUCAUCCACAAGCAGGGUUCCUGAGUGGAUACUAUUACGAAAGGAUAGUAAGCAGCACAAGAUGGAGCUCUUCCUUCUUCUGGCUCUGAUCUACUUUUACCACUCAAAUGCUUAUCAUCCUAAUCCUAAUGAGCCUAAAAGUCCCUGUAAUGGUACAGCCGGUGACAACCAGUAUUGUUACAAAUCCGUCACAUAGUUCCAUUUAAAAACAAGAUCUCUGUAGAUGACUGGAGACAGUACCUGUGGAAGAAUAAACUUUGUAGAAAAAACGUACUACA
This 1365-nucleotide long non-coding RNA is filed under the name Astyanax mexicanus (Mexican tetra). RNAcentral's name for it is "lncRNA (ENSAMXG00005012295.1)". The record is from RNAcentral. Lineage: Eukaryota; Metazoa; Chordata; Actinopteri; Characiformes; Acestrorhamphidae.